UUGACCUCGAAUCAGGUAGGGAUACCCGCUGAACUUAAGCAUAUCAAUAAGCGA
RNAcentral lists this ribosomal RNA (54 nucleotides) under Phyllactinia taurica. Its description in RNAcentral is "Leveillula taurica partial 28S rRNA". Lineage: Eukaryota; Fungi; Ascomycota; Leotiomycetes; Helotiales; Erysiphaceae. The record is from RNAcentral.